ACUCCUACGGGAGGCAGCAGUGAGGAAUAUUGGACAAUGGGCGCAAGCCUGAUCCAGCCAUGCCGCGUGCAGGAAGACUGCCCUAUGGGUUGUAAAUUGCUUUUGUACGGGAAGAAACACCCNCCUCGUGGGCAGGGUGCUGACGUACCGUAAGAAUAAGGAUCGGCUAACUCCGUGCCAGCAGCCGCGGUAAUACGGAGGAUCCGAGCGUUAUCCGGAAUCAUUGGGUUUAAAGGGUCCGUAGGUGGAUUGGUAAGUCAGAGGUGAAAGCCUGCAGCUCAACUGUAGAACUGCCUUUGAUACUGCUAGUCUUGAGUCGUUGUGAAGUGGUUAGAAUAUGUAGUGUAGCGGUGAAAUGCAUAGAUAUUACAUAGAAUACCAAUUGCGAAGGCAGAUCACUAACAACGUACUGACACUGAUGGACGAAAGCGUGGGAGCGAACAGGAUUAGAUACCCUGGUAGCU
Molecule: ribosomal RNA, 464 nt
Filed under: uncultured bacterium
Lineage: Bacteria
Description: bacterial SSU rRNA
Rfam family: Bacterial small subunit ribosomal RNA
Source: RNAcentral